This 514-nucleotide ribosomal RNA is filed under the name Acrobeloides environmental sample. RNAcentral describes it as "SSU rRNA". It matches the Rfam family "Eukaryotic small subunit ribosomal RNA", at positions 58 to 570 of the family's 1831-position model. Lineage: Eukaryota; Metazoa; Nematoda; Chromadorea; Rhabditida; Cephalobidae. The record is from RNAcentral.
UCUAAGUAUAAACGAUUUAAUCGUGAAACCGCGAAUGGCUCAUUAUAACAGCUAUAAUUUACUUGAUCUUGACACAAUCCUACUUGGAUAACUGUGGUAAUUCUAGAGCUAAUACAUGCAUUAAAGCUCUGACCUCACGGGAAGAGUGCAUUUAUUAGAACAAAACCAAGCGGCUUCGGCUGUUUCUGGUUGACUCAUAGUAACUGAGCUGAUCGCAUGGUCUUGCACCGGCGACGUGUCUUUCAAGUAUCUGCCGUAUCAACUUUCGAUGGUAGUGUAUCUGACUACCAUGGUGAUCACGCGUAACGGAGAAUAAGGGUUCGGCUCCGGAGAGUUCGCCUGAGAAAUCGCGAACACAUCUAAGGAAGGCAGCAGGCGCGAAAAUUACCCACUCUCAGCACGAGGAGGUAGUGACGAAAAAUAACGAGACCGUUCUCUUAUGAGGCCGGUCAUCGGAAUGGGUACAAUUUAAACCCUUUAACGAGUAUCUAUNAGAGGGCAAGUCUGGUGCCAG